UAAGCAUAUCAAUAAGCGGAGGAAAAGAAACCAACAGGGAUUGCCUCAGUAACGGCGAGUGAAGCGGCAACAGCUCAAAUUUGAAAUCUGGCCCCCUCGGGGUCCGAGUUGUAAUUUGUAGAGAGUGUUUCGGGUGAGACCACGGUCUAAGUCUAUUGGAACAUGGCGUCAUAGAGGGUGAGAAUCCCGUAUGUGACCGUGGCUCGAGCCCAUGUGAAGCCUCUUCGACGAGUCGAGUUGUUUGGGAAUGCAGCUCAAAAUGGGUGGUAAAUUUCAUCUAAAGCUAAAUACUGGCUGGAGACCGAUAGCGCACAAGUAGAGUGAUCGAAAGAUGAAAAGCACUUUGGAAAGAGAGUCAAAAAGUACGUGAAAUUGUUGAAAGGGAAGCGCUUGCAACCAGACCUGUCCGUAGGUGAUCAGCCGCUGUUCUCAGCGGUGCACUCGCUCUGCGAUCAGGCCAGCAUCGGUUUCGGCGGUCGGAUAAAGGCCUUGGGAAUGUAGCUUCCUUCGGGGAGUCUUAUAGCCCUCGGUGCAAUGCGGCCAGCCGGGACCGAGGACCGCGCUUCGGCUAGGAUGCUGGCGUAAUGGUUGUAAGCGACCCGUCUUGAAACACGGACCAAGGAGUCUACCAUCUAUGCGAGUGUUUGGGUGUCAAACCCAUGCGCGGAAUGAAAGUGAACGGAGGUGAGAACCCUUUAGGGCGCAUCAUCGACCGAUCCAGAUGUCUUCGGAUGGAUUUGAGUAUGAGCAUAGCUGGUGGGACCCGAAAGAUGGUGAACUAUGCCUGAAUAGGGUGAAGCCAGAGGAAACUCUGGUGGAGGCUCGCAGCGGUUCUGACGUGCAAAUCGAUCGUCAAAUUUGGGUMUAGG
RNAcentral lists this ribosomal RNA (869 nucleotides) under Usnea angulata. RNAcentral describes it as "eukaryotic LSU rRNA". It matches the Rfam family "Eukaryotic large subunit ribosomal RNA", at positions 35 to 921 of the family's 3401-position model. The record is from RNAcentral. Lineage: Eukaryota; Fungi; Ascomycota; Lecanoromycetes; Lecanorales; Parmeliaceae.